This 474-nucleotide long non-coding RNA is filed under the name Monodelphis domestica (gray short-tailed opossum). RNAcentral describes it as "lncRNA (ENSMODG00000043869.1)". Lineage: Eukaryota; Metazoa; Chordata; Mammalia; Didelphimorphia; Didelphidae. The record is from RNAcentral.
GUUGGCAGACAUGGUUUGACAUUCUAGCAAGUCAUUGAAGCAAUUCCUUUGUGAUUUUCCAGGCUUGGGAGCACCUUGGAAAAGCAGACCCUUGCUUUUGGUCAAGAAGGCAGCAAGGCAUCAAAGUCUAGUGGCAGGACAAAAGCUGAAACAAUUUGUGAAUGCUGGAGACACUGGAGAUGGUGGCCAAGUUCUAAGCAUUCCUUGGUGUUUGCUUCAGUCGCAUCCAUGGCUAUUGGAACAAAUUGUUCUCACCAGCUCAUUCUUGGGAAAGGAGGAAUAAGAUACAAAAAAGAUUAGAAAGCUAUCAAAUGACCCAGAGAAGGAAAUGGCAAAUAACUCCAGUAUUUUUGCCAAGAAAACCUCCAAAAUGGAAUCAUAAAGACUUGGAAACUACUGAAAAAUGACUGAAAACCAUUGGAGCAUGGCAUGUAAGAGAUAUUCAAUAAAUACUUGUUGAUUGAUUGGAAGGCA